UUAAGUUCAGCGGGUCUUCCUACCUGAUCCGAGGUCAACCUUGGGUAAAUAAGGCUUUUAACGGCCGGAACCCGCAGCACUCCCAGAGCGAGAUGUAUUACUACGCUCGGGGUGACAGCGAGCCCGCCACUGGUUUCAGGGCCUGCGGGCAGCCGCAGGACCCCAACACAAGCAGGGCUUGAUGGUUGAAAUGACGCUCG
Molecule: unclassified non-coding RNA, 200 nt
Filed under: Humicola sp.
Lineage: Eukaryota; Fungi; Ascomycota; Sordariomycetes; Sordariales; Chaetomiaceae
Description: partial internal transcribed spacer 2
Source: RNAcentral